RNAcentral lists this ribosomal RNA (836 nucleotides) under uncultured Chlorophyta. RNAcentral's name for it is "SSU rRNA". It matches the Rfam family "Eukaryotic small subunit ribosomal RNA", at positions 583 to 1448 of the family's 1831-position model. The record is from RNAcentral. Lineage: Eukaryota; Viridiplantae; Chlorophyta.
UUCCAGCUCCAAUAGCGUAUAUUUAAGUUGUUGCAGUUAAAAAGCUCGUAGUUGGAUUUCGGAUGUGUUGACGCGGUCUGCCUCUGGUAUGUACUGCGUUCGAUGCAUCUUUCUGCUGGGGACGAGCUCCUGGGCUUAAUUGUCUGGGACUCGGAAUCAGCGAAGUGACCUUGAGCAAACAAGAGUGUUCAAAGCAAGCCUACGCUCUGAAUUUUUUAGCAUGGAAUCACACGAUAGGACUCUGGCCUAUCUUGUUGGUCUGUAGGACCGGAGUAAUGAUUAAGAGGGACAGUCGGGGGCAUUCGUAUUUCAUUGUCAGAGGUGAAAUUCUUGGAUUUAUGAAAGACGAACUUCUGCGAAAGCAUUUGCCAAGGAUGUUUUCAUUGAUCAAGAACGAAAGUUGGGGGCUCGAAGACGAUUAGAUACCGUCGUAGUCUCAACCAUAAACGAUGCCGACUAGGGAUUGGCAGGUGUUCCAUUGAUGACCCUGCCAGCACCUUAUGAGAAAUCAAAGUUUUUGGGUUCCGGGGGGAGUAUGGUCGCAAGGCUGAAACUUAAAGGAAUUGACGGAAGGGCACCACCAGGCGUGGAGCCUGCGGCUUAAUUUGACUCAACACGGGGAAACUUACCAGGUCCAGACACGGGGAGGAUUGACAGAUUGAGAGCUCUUUCUUGAUUCUGUGGGUGGUGGUGCAUGGCCGUUCUUAGUUGGUGGGUUGCCUUGUCAGGUUGAUUCCGGUAACGAACGAGACCUCAGCCUGCUAAAUAGUAACACAUACCUUGGUAUGUGCUUUACUUCUUAGAGGGACUAUUGGCGUUUAGUCAAGGAAGUGUGA